GGAAUCAAAUGUGUGAGGAGAUAGAGGGUUUUUAGGGGAAGAAUAGGGAUUUUUAGAGGAGUGAUACUCCUAUUUGGAAGAGACGGGUGGAAGCUAGGGCACGCUCAAACUGCUUCAAAUAAGGGAUGGGAUGGGGAAGAACUCGAUUCCUAAGGGUCAAUUUGAGGUGUAAGGGGGGAUAGGAGAAGAGUCUAGAGGGAAAGCUUGGGUUUGGAGAAGA
This 220-nucleotide long non-coding RNA is filed under the name Elaeis guineensis (African oil palm). RNAcentral describes it as "long non-coding RNA (EGUI_LNC076206)". Lineage: Eukaryota; Viridiplantae; Streptophyta; Magnoliopsida; Arecales; Arecaceae. The record is from RNAcentral.